This 433-nucleotide ribosomal RNA is filed under the name uncultured bacterium. RNAcentral describes it as "partial 16S ribosomal RNA". It matches the Rfam family "Bacterial small subunit ribosomal RNA", at positions 29 to 507 of the family's 1533-position model. The record is from RNAcentral.
AACGAACGCUGGCGGCAUGCCUAACACAUGCAAGUCGAACGAGACCUUCGGGUCUAGUGGCGCACGGGUGCGUAACGCGUGGGAACCUGCCCUUAGGUUCGGAAUAACUCCCCGAAAGGGGUGCUAAUGCCGGAUAAUGUCUUCGGACCAAAGAUUUAUCGCCUUUGGAUGGGCCCGCGUUGGAUUAGCUAGUUGGUAGGGUAAAAGCCUACCAAGGCGACGAUCCAUAGCUGGUCUGAGAGGAUGAUCAGCCACACUGGGACUGAGACACGGCCCAGACUCCUACGGGAGGCAGCAGUGGGGAAUAUUGGACAAAGGGCGAAAGCCUGAUCCAGCAAUGCCGCGUGAGUGAUGAAGGCCUUAGGGUUGUAAAGCUCUUUUACCCGGGAUGAUAAUGACAGUACCGGGAGAAUAAGCUCCGGCUAACUCCGUG